GAUGAACGCUGGCGGCGUGCCUAAUACAUGCAAGUCGAGCGAACAGAUGAGGAGCUUGCUCCUCUGACGUUAGCGGCGGACGGGUGAGUAACACGUGGAUAACCUACCUAUAAGACUGGGAUAACUUCGGGAAACCGGAGCUAAUACCGGAUAAUAUAUUGAACCGCAUGGUUCAAUAGUGAAAGACGGUUUUGCUGUCACUUAUAGAUGGAUCCGCGCCGCAUUAGCUAGUUGGUAAGGUAACGGCUUACCAAGGCAACGAUGCGUAGCCGACCUGAGAGGGUGAUCGGCCACACUGGAACUGAGACACGGUCCAGACUCCUACGGGAGGCAGCAGUAGGGAAUCUUCCGCAAUGGGCGAAAGCCUGACGGAGCAACGCCGCGUGAGUGACGAAGGUCUUCGGAUCGUAAAACUCUGUUAUUAGGGAAGAACAAAUGUGUAAGUAACUAUGCACGUCUUGACGGUACCUAAUCAGAAAGCCACGGCUAACUACGUG
Molecule: ribosomal RNA, 497 nt
Filed under: uncultured bacterium
Lineage: Bacteria
Description: partial 16S ribosomal RNA
Rfam family: Bacterial small subunit ribosomal RNA
Source: RNAcentral